AGGACGAACGCUGGCGGCGUGCUUAACACAUGCAAGUCGAGCGAGACCCACCUUUCGGGGUGGUGUUCUAGCGGCGAACGGGUGAGCAACACGUGGGCAACCUGCCCUCAGCUCUGGGAUAACUCCAAGAAAUUGGGGCUAAUACCGGAUAUGACCGCUGACCGCAUGGUCUGGUGGUGGAAAGAUUUAUCGGCUGGGGAUGGGCCCGCGGCCUAUCAGCUUGUUGGUGGGGUAGUGGCCUACCAAGGCGACGACGGGUAGCCGGCCUGAGAGGGUGACCGGCCACACUGGGACUGAGACACGGCCCAGACUCCUACGGGAGGCAGCAGUGGGGAAUAUUGCGCAAUGGGCGGAAGCCUGACGCAGCGACGCCGCGUGGGGGAUGACGGCCUUCGGGUUGUAACCUCUUCAGCAGGGACGAAGCGAAAGUGACGGUACCUGCAGAAGAAGCACCGGCCAACUACGUGCCAGCAGCCGC
Molecule: ribosomal RNA, 478 nt
Filed under: uncultured bacterium
Lineage: Bacteria
Description: SSU rRNA
Rfam family: Bacterial small subunit ribosomal RNA
Source: RNAcentral